AACGCACAUUGCACUCCUUGGUAUUCCGAGGAGUAUGCCUGUUUCAGUAUCAUGAGCACUCUCACAACUAACCUUUGGGUUAUGAUGUGGAAUUGGGAUGCGCCGGUUUUCAUUAAUCGGCACUCCUAAAAUGUAGCUCUUGGCUGUUUCCUACUACAGCAGUUUGGCCUAAUAGUUUUGACUUUUGUCAAAUCUUUGGCUACAUUUGCUUCUGGAAGUCAGUCUUGAUAAUACAGAAAACUCAUUUCAAACUUUGAUCUGAAAUCAGGUAGGGCUACCCGCUGAACUUAA
RNAcentral lists this unclassified non-coding RNA (291 nucleotides) under uncultured Umbelopsis. RNAcentral's name for it is "sequence contains ITS2". Lineage: Eukaryota; Fungi; Mucoromycota; Umbelopsidomycetes; Umbelopsidales; Umbelopsidaceae. The record is from RNAcentral.